This 72-nucleotide transfer RNA is filed under the name Cricetulus griseus (Chinese hamster). It matches the Rfam family "tRNA". From Rfam's summary of the family: Transfer RNA (tRNA) molecules are approximately 80 nucleotides in length. Lineage: Eukaryota; Metazoa; Chordata; Mammalia; Rodentia; Cricetidae. The record is from Rfam by way of RNAcentral.
GGGGAUAUAGUUCAGGGGUAGAGCAUCUGACUACAGAUCAAGAGGUCCCUAGUUCAAAUCCAGGUGCCCCUU